CCCAGCGGUAAGUCAGCUGUGCGGGCCUGUUACCGUGCCUGGACCAGUGUUACACUGCUGGAAGAGAAAGCCAUUGUCAGCAAUGCUCUCUUCAUCUGCUGCUGUUUUAGUAGUGGUUGUGACUGAGCGAUGGCAGUGCGGUGUCCCCUCAGAGAGUGGAGCUACCCUGUGUGCACUGGAGAGUUCCUAGUCUGGGGUCAAACACU
Engraulis encrasicolus (European anchovy) is the source of this 206-nucleotide small nucleolar RNA. RefSeq annotates it as small nucleolar RNA SNORA74. The record is from RefSeq and is a predicted model, not a curated record. The transcript has a single exon. NCBI's taxonomy places the organism in Eukaryota, Metazoa, Chordata, Actinopteri, Clupeiformes, Engraulidae.